This 54-nucleotide transfer RNA is filed under the name Philometroides sanguineus. RNAcentral's name for it is "tRNA-Tyr". The record is from RNAcentral. Lineage: Eukaryota; Metazoa; Nematoda; Chromadorea; Rhabditida; Philometridae.
GGAAUUUUAUUUUAAUAAAGAAUACUAGAUUGUAAGUCUAGAGGUUAAAUUCUA